This 498-nucleotide ribosomal RNA is filed under the name uncultured bacterium. Its description in RNAcentral is "bacterial SSU rRNA". It matches the Rfam family "Bacterial small subunit ribosomal RNA", at positions 30 to 524 of the family's 1533-position model. The record is from RNAcentral.
AUUGAACGCUGGCGGAAUGCUUUACACAUGCAAGUCGAACGGCAGCACGGGGCAACCUGGUGGCGAGUGGCGAACGGGUGAGUAAUACAUCGGAACGUGCCCAAUCGUGGGGGAUAACGUAGCGAAAGUUACGCUAAUACCGCAUACGAUCUACGGAUGAAAGCGGGGGAUCGCAAGACCUCGCGCGAGUGGAGCGGCCGAUGUCAGAUUAGGUAGUUGGUGGGGUAAAGGCUCACCAAGCCAACGAUCUGUAGCUGGUCUGAGAGGACGACCAGCCACACUGGAACUGAGACACGGUCCAGACUCCUACGGGAGGCAGCAGUGGGGAAUUUUGGACAAUGGGCGCAAGCCUGAUCCAGCCAUUCCGCGUGCAGGAUGAAGGCCUUCGGUUGUAAACUGCUUUGUACGGAACGAAACGGCGAGCUCUAAUACAGUUUGCUAAUGACGGUACCGUAAGAAUAAGACACCGGCUAACUACGUGCCAGCAGCCGCGGUAAU